UGACCUCGGAUCAGGUAGGACUACCCGCUGAACUUAAGCAUAUCAAUAAGCGGAGGAAAAGAAACCAACAGGGAUUGCCCCAGUAACGGCGAGUGAAGCGGCAACAGCUCAGAUUUGGAAUCUGGCCCCCAGGGCCCGAGUUGUAAUCUGGAGAGGAUGCUUCUGGCGCGGCGCCUUCCGAGUUCCCUGGAACGGGACGCCGGAGAGGGUGAGAGCCCCGUACGGUUGGACGCCUAGCCUUUGUGAAGCUCCUUCGACGAGUCGAGUAGUUUGGGAAUGCUGCUCAAAAUGGGAGGUAAAUUUCUUCUAAAGCUAAAUACCGGCCAGAGACCGAUAGCGCACAAGUAGAGUGAUCGAAAGAUGAAAAGCACUUUGAAAAGAGGG
This 384-nucleotide ribosomal RNA is filed under the name Leptographium conjunctum. RNAcentral's name for it is "LSU rRNA". It matches the Rfam family "Eukaryotic large subunit ribosomal RNA", at positions 1 to 387 of the family's 3401-position model. Lineage: Eukaryota; Fungi; Ascomycota; Sordariomycetes; Ophiostomatales; Ophiostomataceae. The record is from RNAcentral.